UACGUAGGGUGCAAGCGUUAAUCGGAAUUACUGGGCGUAAAGCGUGCGCAGGCGGUGAUGUAAGACAGUUGUGAAAUCCCCGGGCUUAACCUGGGAAUUGCAUUUGUGACUGCACGGCUAGAGUUUGGCAGAGGGGGGUAGAAUUCCACGUGUAGCAGUGAAAUGCGUAGAUAUGUGGAGGAAUACCGAUGGCGAAGGCAGCCCCCUGGGUCAAGACUGACGCUCAUGCACGAAAGCGUGGGGAGCAAACAGG
This 253-nucleotide ribosomal RNA is filed under the name uncultured bacterium. Its description in RNAcentral is "partial 16S ribosomal RNA". It matches the Rfam family "Bacterial small subunit ribosomal RNA", at positions 524 to 776 of the family's 1533-position model. The record is from RNAcentral.